UACGUAGGGGGCUAGCGUUGUCCGGAAUCAUUGGGCGUAAAGCGCGGGCAGGUGGCCUUUUAAGUCCUUUGUGAAAUUCCGGAGCUCAACUCCGGAUGUGCAUAGGAUACUGGAAGGCUAGAGACUGGUAGAGGCGAGUGGAAUUCCCGGUGUAGCGGUGAAAUGCGCAGAUAUCGGGAGGAACACCAGUAGCGAAGGCGGCUCGCUGGGCCAUUCCGUGACGCUGAGACGCGAAAGCUAGGGGAGCGAACAGG
This 254-nucleotide ribosomal RNA is filed under the name uncultured bacterium. RNAcentral describes it as "partial 16S ribosomal RNA". It matches the Rfam family "Bacterial small subunit ribosomal RNA", at positions 524 to 776 of the family's 1533-position model. The record is from RNAcentral.